RNA transcript from Gopherus evgoodei (Goodes thornscrub tortoise), 4316 nucleotides. It is a transcript of the gene named lamin-L(III)-like, with no coding region annotated. Lineage: Eukaryota; Metazoa; Chordata; Testudines; Testudinidae. The transcript has 13 exons. The record is from RefSeq and is a predicted model, not a curated record.
UGAACACAGCAGAUGGGGCUGGCUCAAGCAAUUAGGUGCCAGGGAUAUGAAUUGCCAGACCUAGAGGUGAUGGAGGUCUCAGCCCUGGCACACAUUAAGCACUGAAAUGUGGCUAUGGGUAACACAGGGAAGGAUGCUUUUCUAAAUAUGAAUUUUUCAAUCUGUCCCUUUAUGGUGUUGAAUAUAAACUCAGAAUUAGCAACUGUCUCAGUGGGCAUUCCCCACGCCCAUCAGUGGCAUGUCUUUUCUCGUACCUCUUGACCAGGCCUGUAUCUCCUCCAGCCCUGCUAAUCUGAACAGGGAGGCUGGAAAAGGAACCGGAGCGUGGCGUUCACUCACUACCCUACUGAAAAGCGAACAAAAUUCUCCCUCCCUAUUUUCUGAAGGGGGAGACCCCCCCCGGAGCUGGGAUCCCAACAGGCUCUCACUCCCGGGCUCGUACCACCUCCUCCUCCAGCCAGCAGCUCUAUCCCUUUAAAUCGCCGCCGGUGCCGCAGCCCGUGCCGGAAGGACCCUGGAACUGCAGCUGGUGGUGGCUAUUUAUACCCGGGCUGGAGCAGGGGGGAGCCGGACAGUGCGAGCGUGGGCAGGGAGAGGCCGCGGCGCACGGAGGGCGGGCGCCGGGAUUCCAUGUCUCCUUGAGGCGGUGGCUUGGUUGUGCAGGGGCUGGGUUUGGGGGUGACCUGCAAAGGGGCGUUUCCUUCCUUCCUGUCAUGGAUGUAGCAAGGGCCUGAAGGUGCCUGCCCAGCCCGAGGCGCCCCGGGCGGCGGCCGCGCUAGCUCCGAGGAUCGUGCCCGUACAGACGCUGCCAUGGCCACGGCGGUGUCCUCCACCCCGGGAGGCAGCGGGCGAGCUCUCGGGCGCUCGGCCGCGUUCUCCCCGCUCAGCCCGACCCGGCUCAGCCGGCUGCAGGAGAAAGAGGAGCUGCAGCAGCUCAAUGACCGCCUGGCCGCCUACAUCGACCGGGUGCGGGCCCUGGAGGCCGAUAAAGCCACGCUGCAGCUGCGCCUGGCGGAGCUGGAGGAAGGGAGCAGCCGGGAGCUGGGCAACCUGCGGCUCCGCUACGAGACCGAGCUGGCCGAUGCCCGCAAGGCGCUGGACUGCAUCGCUAUCGAGCGGGCCACGCUGCAGGUGGAGCUGGGCAAGCUCAGCGAGGAGCACCGACAGCUGCACGCCAGGAAUUCUAAAAAAGAAGCUGACUUAAAUCUGGCACAGGCUCACAUAAGAGACGUUGAUGCUCAGCUGAACUCCAAGGAGGCUGACUUAGCAACAGCUUUGAGUGGAAAAAGAAGUUUGGAGGGCGACCUUCAAGAGUUAAAGGAUCAAAUAGUCACUCUUAAGUUGGCAUUGGAAGAUACCAAAAAGAAUCUCCAUGGAGAAAUGUUGAGGAGAGUGGACCUGGAAAACCAAAUGAAAACUGUGCAAGAACAAAUGACAUUCCAGAAACGCCUUCAUGAGGAUGAGCUCAAGGAAACAAAAAGAUUCCAUGAGAGCAGGAUAGCUGAAAUAGAAUCUGGCCGUCAGAGGGAGUUUGAGAGCAAACUUUCAGAUGCUCUGCAAGGACUCAGAAAGGAGCAUGAAGAACAAAUUCAGGAAUACAAAGAUGACUUGGAGCGCACGUUCAGUGCCAAAAUGGAGAAUGCUCAACUUUCUGCCGCAAAAAAUAGUGACUUUGCCAAUGCUGCUCGUGAGGAGUUGAUGGAAACAAAGAUGAGAGUUGACACUUUGACAUCCCAGCUUAAUCAUUAUCAAAGCCAGAACUGUGCGUUGGAGAACAGAAUAAGAGAAUUACAGGAGACCCUGGAUUAUGACCGUGAGAUGCAUCGAAGACAUAUGGCUGAAAAAGAUAAAGAGAUGGCACAAACACGGCGGCAGAUGCAAGCACAGUUGGAGGAAUAUGAGCAUCUACUAGAUGUGAAACUGGCUCUAGAUCUAGAAAUAAAUGCCUACAGAAAGAUGCUGGAAGGAGAAGAACAGAGGCUAAAACUGUCAUCUAGUCCAUCUUCCCAAAGUGUUGCAACGCAGGCAACAACCAGCCAUGGGCGUCGCUUCCUGCAUGGAAAAAAGAGAAAACUGAAAGAAUCCAAAAAGGGAGAGCACAGUGUCAGCUUUAAAAUUGUUCAGCAUGCAUCAUGUUCAGGAAAUGUGUCUAUAGAAGAAAUUGACACAGAAGGGAAUUUUGUCAAGCUUAAAAACAACUCGGAUGAGGAUCAAUCGCUAACUGGAUGGGUACUAAGACGACGGCUUGGAAGCUUGUCUGAAAUAACAUACAAAUUCCCUGCUCGGUUUGUCCUUCAGGCAGGCCAAGUAGUUACGAUCUGGGGUGCUGAUGCUGGUGUAAACCAGAGUCCUAGUGAUCUGGUGUGGAAAUCUCAGCAGUCUUGGGGAACUGGGGAUAACAUUGGUGUUACACUCAUCAAUGCUGAUGGAGAGGAGACUGCAGAACGGAAGGUCAUACAUGUAUCCAGAGGAGAAGAAGGUGGUGAACUGGAAGAGGAGUUUGAUGAAGAAGAAAUAACGGGGAGCGAAAUGGAGUUUCAUCGUCGGACCAAAAGAAGAAAAAAGAAAUGUUGUUUGGUGUCAUGAUUGUUUCCUGUGAGCAUCACAAAAUAGAACAAAGAAUAAACCACAUGUGAAUUGGUUAGAAGUGUCUCCAGCAAAAUGAAGAUCCUAGCUGUUCUGUCAUGUAACUAAGCCAAGGUAGUGACUACCUAGAACCACUCCUUAAACCAGAGUGACCCUUCAGACUGCAUGAAUUUUCAGCAGCUACUGGAACACAUGAAUCUUGGAUUCCCCCCCAUCAGAUGUGUUUGGAGAAAGCAUCCUCCAGAAUGUGAAACUUCCUACUUGUUGAUAUUGGGGCCUGCCUUCAAUGAAACUAGAUCCAAGUGCACACUUCCUUUUCCAAGUCUCUUGCCAUGAAUUGUGAUUUAUUCAUCCACAACUACUUGCCCGAAAGUUUACAAUAACCUCCUGCUAAGCAUGUCUCAUCCUAGCCAGGGAUGGGUAAAUCUCACAAAUUUAAUGGCUUCAGCUUUCUGAACUGAUUCAAAAUAUUUUCUCCAAAGCAGACUUAAGAACUGUUUCAAGCCUGACUGAAAUUUAAGUGGACAAAAUACUGCCUCAGCUUAUACCUUGUGCAGCUCCACUGAAUUGAAAGUCAGAGCAAAUUGUUAUCCUUGUUUCAAACACCCCAGGACUCAUUUUAUGUUUGGAGUCUGAUACUAAAGUUCCCUUGAUUGGUCUAAGCUGAUAGAUAGAAUAAUCUACUGGUGUAAAGUUUUAAAAUGAGCAAGCUAUUUGUAAAACAUGUAUUUUUAACUUGUAGUUAAAUAAACCAACCAUUAGGCUGUUUCUAUAGCCUAGUACCUGUUAACCUCAACGUCUAUUUAUUAAACUAUGUAAAGUAUUUGAAACUUUGAGGUGAGUAGCUUUGUACCAUAAAUGUGAACUAAAGUCUGAUGCCAACAUAGCACUAAUGUGGCUAAAUGCAUCAGUACUUAACUGCUUACUUGGCAAAACAUUAAUGGGGACAGAACUAAAUUAACUGAAUAGUUUUGGUAUAGCUAGAGAUCACACACUCCAAUGAGAAGUCUUGAUACCUUUUUUAAGAAAGUUCCAGUGUUAAACAUCUGAAAUAAGGAUGUGCCGUUUACACUGUCACUACUUCUGUAUUCAUAGUUGAGGUGAGGAUAACUUCUAUUUUGUCCAAUAGCUAGAUAUGUUCCCUAUUAGAGCACUGAGUUCCAGUGGAUUAAUAUACAGCAUUGUAACAACCUGCAGCUAAAAUGUCUAGCACACAGUGGGGUUGGUCAUGGGUAGCCACUCUAGUUAGCCACCGUAGCUUUUUUUUGUUGACCUAGUGGCUAUACUGAAAAGUGGGAAAUAGCCCAGCAAGAGUCCCUAGUUAAACAACACAAGUCUGUUUCCUUGCUAAAAAGGUGGCUGAUAAUGCAGCCCCAUCUGAGCACUGGAGCAGCUUUCAGAAUUCUUUGUUGCCUUGCCCAAAGUCUCUACUGUACAGUAUGUCUGAAUUUUAAGAUCUGUCCCAUGUUAGGACUGUGCUUUUUUAGAGUGAUUUAGAAUUCUCUUCAGUUAAACUGAUUUAAAAACAUAGCAUUUUAAGACACUGGACACCUAAAUGGUGAGUGAAUUUGGCCUUUCAUAUUUUAGCAGACUGAAAUCCUUCAUUUUGUUGCACCUUGUCACUUUAGAAGAACUUAAAAUAAGCUCUGUUUAUGAUCUUGCUGUGUUUAUAAUCUUGGGCUGUUCAAUUGAUUUUUUUUUACUAUUAAAGAUAUUUUCCAUGUACAUUA